Molecule: ribosomal RNA, 253 nt
Filed under: uncultured bacterium
Lineage: Bacteria
Description: partial 16S ribosomal RNA
Rfam family: Bacterial small subunit ribosomal RNA
Source: RNAcentral
UACGUAGGGUGCGAGCGUUGUCCGGAAUUACUGGGCGUAAAGAGCUCGUAGGUGGUUUGUCGCGUUGUCCGUGAAAACUCACAACUCAAUUGUGGGCGUGCGGGCGAUACGGGCAGACUGGAGUACUGCAGGGGAGACUGGAAUUCCUGGUGUAGCGGUGGAAUGCGCAGAUAUCAGGAGGAACACCGGUGGCGAAGGCGGGUCUCUGGGACGUAACUGACGCUGAGACGCGAAAGCGUGGGGAGCAAACAGG